This 465-nucleotide ribosomal RNA is filed under the name Vreelandella stevensii. Its description in RNAcentral is "partial 16S ribosomal RNA". It matches the Rfam family "Bacterial small subunit ribosomal RNA", at positions 338 to 795 of the family's 1533-position model. The record is from RNAcentral. Lineage: Bacteria; Pseudomonadati; Pseudomonadota; Gammaproteobacteria; Oceanospirillales; Halomonadaceae.
CCUACGGGGGGCUGCAGUGGGGAAUAUUGGACAAUGGGGGCAACCCUGAUCCAGCCAUGCCGCGUGUGUGAAGAAGGCCCUCGGGUUGUAAAGCACUUUCAGUGGGGAAGAACGCCUGGUGGUUAAUACCCAUCAGGAAAGACAUCACUCACAGAAGAAGCACCGGCUAACUCCGUGCCAGCAGCCGCGGUAAUACGGAGGGUGCGAGCGUUAAUCGGAAUUACUGGGCGUAAAGCGCGCGUAGGUGGCUUGAUAAGCCGGUUGUGAAAGCCCCGGGCUCAACCUGGGAACGGCAUCCGGAACUGUCCAGCUAGAGUGCAGGAGAGGAAGGUGGAAUUCCCGGUGUAGCGGUGAAAUGCGUAGAGAUCGGGAGGAAUACCAGUGGCGAAGGCGGCCUUCUGGACUGACACUGACGCUGAGGUGCGAAAGCGUGGGGAGCAAACAGGAUUAGAUACCCCGGUAGUC